This 117-nucleotide ribosomal RNA is filed under the name Peribacillus kribbensis. Lineage: Bacteria; Bacillati; Bacillota; Bacilli; Caryophanales; Bacillaceae. The record is from RNAcentral.
UCUGGUAGUUAUGGCAAAGAGGCCACACCCGUUCCCAUCCCGAACACGGAAGUUAAGCUCUUUUGCGCCGAUGGUAGUUGGGGGUUCUCCCCCUGUGAGAGUAGGUCGCUGCCAGGC